Molecule: ribosomal RNA, 229 nt
Filed under: uncultured bacterium
Lineage: Bacteria
Description: partial 16S ribosomal RNA
Rfam family: Bacterial small subunit ribosomal RNA
Source: RNAcentral
UACGUAGGCGGAAAAUUAAGUCAGUAGUGAAAUCCUGCAGCUCAACUGUAGAACUGUUAUUGAUACUGGUUUUCUUGAAUAUAGUUGAGGUAGGCGGAAUGUGUAAUGUAGCGGUGAAAUGCUUAGAUAUUACACAGAACACCGAUUGCGAAGGCAGCUUACUAAGCUAUGAUUGACGCUGAGGUACGAAAGCGUGGGGAGCGAACAGGAUUAGAUACCCUGGUAGUCC